This 759-nucleotide ribosomal RNA is filed under the name Paraluteres prionurus (blacksaddle filefish). Its description in RNAcentral is "partial 12S ribosomal RNA". It matches the Rfam family "Bacterial small subunit ribosomal RNA", at positions 24 to 1348 of the family's 1533-position model. The record is from RNAcentral. Lineage: Eukaryota; Metazoa; Chordata; Actinopteri; Tetraodontiformes; Monacanthidae.
UCUAUCAACUUUAGCCUAACUUACACAUGCAAGUAUCCGCACCCCUGUGAGAAUGCCCCACAGUUUCCUGCAGGAAACAAGGAGCCGGCAUCAGGCACAAUUUAGCCCAAGACGCCUUGCUUAGCCACACCCCCAAGGGACCUCAGCAGUGAUAAACAUUAAGCCAUAAGUGAAAACUUGACUUAGCCAAGGCUAGGGCCGGUAAAACUCGUGCCAGCCACCGCGGUUAUACGAGAGGCCCAAGCUGAUAGAUACCGGCGUAAAGCGUGGUUAGGAGUACUUAAAAAUUAAAGUCGAAUGUCUCCAAGGCUGUUAUACGCAACCGGAAACUAGAAGAACAACAACGAAAGUGACUUUACAAUUUCUGAACCCACGAAAGCUAAGGCACAAACUGGGAUUAGAUACCCCACUAUGCCUAGCCCUAAACAUUGAUAGUUAUUUCUUCUAUCCGCCUGGGAACUACGAGCAUAAGCUUAAAACCCAAAGGACUUGGCGGUGCUUUAGAUCCACCUAGAGGAGCCUGUUCUAGAACCGAUAACCCCCGUUAAACCUCACCUUUUCUUGUUCUACCCGCCUAUAUACCACCGUCGUCAGCUUAUCCUGUGAAGGACUAUUAAUAAACAAAAUUGGCACAGCCCAAAACGUCAGGUCGAGGUGUAGCGUACGGAAAGGGAAGAAAUGGGCUACAUUUUCUAUUUAGAAAAAACGAAUGAUAAACUGAAAAACGUAUCUGAAGGAGGAUUUAGUAGUAAGCGGGAA